Molecule: long non-coding RNA, 542 nt
Organism: Polypterus senegalus (gray bichir)
Lineage: Eukaryota; Metazoa; Chordata; Cladistia; Polypteriformes; Polypteridae
Exons: 2
Source: RefSeq, a predicted model, not a curated record
GAAUGAGUUGGCGAACUAGUUUGGUUGCUUUAUUUGGUGACUUUUUGGCUCUUAUCAUGGCUCCUAGAUGAAAGUUAGAGUCUUCAGAUGCUAGUGCUUCGAAGAAAAGGAAAGCCAUAACGAUGGAAGUGAAAUUAGACAUCGUAAACAGAUCAGAAGGAAUGAAGGUUUUACGUUGCCAUUGUUAUGUUCCAUGUGUUUUGCGGGCGGUGCCCCAAGAGGUGGAAACACCUUCCAGUCACCGGCAGGACCUGCCCUGUGCCCUUAGAAAUCCAGAGGCUCUUCUACGGUUCCUGGCAGUUCAUUCAAAUGCACUUAGAAGCGAUGAGUUCUUGUGCUUUUUGUAAAUGUUAUGUGCCUUGUGAUUUUUCUCUGGAUAUUUUCAACCUUCUGCACUGUGUUUUUGACCUUGCUUUUGGAGUCUGUAAUGAGACUUGUUUGGUUUGGAUUGCUUUCAUGUCACAGACAAUUCCAUUUUGCUCUAUGGAGCAUAACUGUGAUUGGAAUACUUUUUGUGAAGAAUAAAUCUUUUCUAUUUAUUA